UCCGUUUUGUCAACGGCAGUCCAUCCAGAGUGCUCGGCUUUAUCCGUUAGCAACUGAAUGUAGGGGUUGCGCUCGUUGCGGGACUUAACCCAACAUCUCACGACACGAGCUGACGACAACCAUGCACCACCUGUCUCCCUGUACCCCGAAGGGUUAAGCGCACUUUCAUGCGCGGUCAGGGGAUGUCAAUCCCUGGUAAGGUUCUUCGCGUUGCGUCGAAUUAAACCACAUGCUCCACCGCUUGUGCGGGCCCCCGUCAAUUCCUUUGAGUUUCAGUCUUGCGACCGUACUCCCCAGGCGGGGUGCUUAUUGCGUUAACUACAGCACUGAGGGGGUCGAUACCCCCAACACUUAGCACCCAUCGUUUACGGCGUGGACUAC
Molecule: unclassified non-coding RNA, 381 nt
Filed under: uncultured Eubacteriales bacterium
Lineage: Bacteria; Bacillati; Bacillota; Clostridia; Eubacteriales
Description: contains 16S-23S intergenic spacer region
Source: RNAcentral